This 421-nucleotide ribosomal RNA is filed under the name uncultured bacterium. RNAcentral describes it as "bacterial SSU rRNA". It matches the Rfam family "Bacterial small subunit ribosomal RNA", at positions 356 to 774 of the family's 1533-position model. The record is from RNAcentral.
GAGGAAUAUUGGACAAUGGGCGCAAGCCUGAUCCAGCCAUGCCGCGUGCAGGAUGACGGUCCUAUGGAUUGUAAACUGCUUUUGUACGAGAAGAAACACUCCUUCGUGAAGGAGCUUGACGGUACCGUAAGAAUAAGGAUCGGCUAACUCCGUGCCAGCAGCCGCGGUAAUACGGAGGAUCCAAGCGUUAUCCGGAAUCAUUGGGUUUAAAGGGUCCGUAGGCGGUUUAGUAAGUCAGUGGUGAAAGCCCAUCGCUCAACGAUGGAACGGCCAUUGAUACUGCUAGACUUGAAUUAUUAGGAAGUAACUAGAAUAUGUAGUGUAGCGGUGAAAUGCUUAGAUAUUACAUGGAAUACCAAUUGCGAAGGCAGGUUACUACUAAUGGAUUGACGCUGAUGGACGAAAGCGUGGGGAGCGAACA